AAGUUAGGCCUGGUGGCUAAGGCCUGUAAUCUCAACCCUUUGGGAGGCCAUGGAGGGAGACUAGCUCGAGCCCAGGAGCUCAAGGCCAGCAUGGGCAACAUAAUGGAAUCCUGUUGCUACAAAAAAUUUAAAAAAAAUAGCUGGAUGUGGUGGUGUGUGCACCUGCAGUCCUAGCUACUGAGGAGGCUGAGGAAGGAGGAUCACUUGAGCCUGGGAGGAUUAUUUAACCAUUCAUAAGUAUGGCAAUGCAGCCAGAAAUGAUCUCUGGAAUACAUUAUCGGAGGCAUUAAAAAGAAAUGGGAAAUAUGUAAAUAUACAAGAAGUAAUGGAUCAGUGGACACUCCAGAUGGGUUAUCCUGUUAUCACCAUCUUGGGAAACACAACAGCAGAAAAUAGAAUAAUAAUUACCCAACAGCAUUUUAUCUAUGAUAUCAGUGCUAAAACUAAAGCACUUAAACUUCAGAAUAACAGUUACCUGUGGCAGAUUCCAUUAACUAUUGUGGUAGGAAAUAGAAGCCAUGUGUCUUCAGAAGCAAUUAUUUGGGUGUCUAACAAAUCAGAGCACCACAGAAUAACUUAUUUGGACAAAGGAAGCUGGCUGCUGGGGAACAUCAAUCAAACUGGCUAUUUUAGAGUCAACUAUGACCUAAGGAACUGGAGAUUAUUAAUUGAUCAAUUAAUCCGGAAUCAUGAGGUUCUUUCUGUCAGUAACCGAGCGGGCUUGAUCGAUGAUGCCUUCAGCCUAGCCAGGGCUGGCUAUUUGCCUCAGAAUAUUCCUCUGGAGAUUAUCAGAUACCUGUCUGAGGAGAAGG
Molecule: small RNA, 812 nt
Filed under: Pan troglodytes (chimpanzee)
Lineage: Eukaryota; Metazoa; Chordata; Mammalia; Primates; Hominidae
Description: processed transcript
Source: RNAcentral